Molecule: ribosomal RNA, 2032 nt
Filed under: Mannheimia haemolytica
Lineage: Bacteria; Pseudomonadati; Pseudomonadota; Gammaproteobacteria; Pasteurellales; Pasteurellaceae
Description: partial 23S ribosomal RNA
Rfam family: Bacterial large subunit ribosomal RNA
Source: RNAcentral
ACUGUUUCGGCUAGGGGUCCAUCCCGGAUUACCAACCCGAUGCAAACUGCGAAUACCGAAGAGUGAUACUCAGGAGACACACGGUGGGUGCUAACGUCCAUCGUGGAGAGGGAAACAACCCAGACCGCCAGCUAAGGUCCCAAAGUCUAUAUUAAGUGGGAAACGAAGUGGGAAGGCUUAGACAGCUAGGAUGUUGGCUUAGAAGCAGCCACCAUUUAAAGAAAGCGUAAUAGCUCACUAGUCGAGUCGGCCUGCGCGGAAGAUGUAACGGGGCUCAAAUAUAGCACCGAAGCUGCGGCAUCAGACGAAAGUCUGUUGGGUAGGGGAGCGUUGUGUAAGUCGAUGAAGGUGGAUUGAGAAGUCUGCUGGAGAUAUCACAAGUGCGAAUGCUGACAUAAGUAACGAUAAAACGAGUGAAAAACUCGUUCGCCGGAAGACCAAGGGUUCCUGUCCAACGUUAAUCGGGGCAGGGUGAGUCGGCCCCUAAGGCGAGGCUGAAAAGCGUAGUCGAUGGGAAACGGGUUAAUAUUCCCGUACUUGUAAUAACUGCGAUGUGGGGACGGAGAAGGUUAGGUUAGCAGACUGUUGGAUGUCUGUUUAAGCCGGUAGGUGGGAAGAUUAGGCAAAUCCGGUCUUCCUUAACACCGAGAAGUGAUGACGAGUCUCUACGGAGAUGAAGUAACCGAUACCACGCUUCCAGGAAAAGCCACUAAGCUUCAGGUUAUUAUAAACCGUACUAUAAACCGACACAGGUGGUCAGGUAGAGAAUACUCAGGCGCUUGAGAGAACUCGGGUGAAGGAACUAGGCAAAAUAGCACCGUAACUUCGGGAGAAGGUGCGCCGGCGUAGAUUGUAGUCCCUUGCGGAUGAAGGUUGAACCGGUCGAAGAUACCAGCUGGCUGCAACUGUUUAUUAAAAACACAGCACUCUGCAAACACGAAAGUGGACGUAUAGGGUGUGAUGCCUGCCCGGUGCUGGAAGGUUAAUUGAUGGUGUUAUCGCAAGAGAAGCUCCUGAUCGAAGCCCCAGUAAACGGCGGCCGUAACUAUAACGGUCCUAAGGUAGCGAAAUUCCUUGUCGGGUAAGUUCCGACCUGCACGAAUGGCAUAAUGAUGGCCAGGCUGUCUCCACCCGAGACUCAGUGAAAUUGAAAUCGCCGUGAAGAUGCGGUGUACCCGCGGCUAGACGGAAAGACCCCGUGAACCUUUACUAUAGCUUGACACUGAACAUUGAAUUUUGAUGUGUAGGAUAGGUGGGAGCCUUUGAAGCAGUCACGCCAGUGAUUGUGGAGGCGUCCUUGAAAUACCACCCUUUAACGUUUGAUGUUCUAACGAAGAUUGCGGAACGCGGUCUCGGACAGUGUCUGGUGGGUAGUUUGACUGGGGCGGUCUCCUCCCAAAGAGUAACGGAGGAGCACGAAGGUUUGCUAAUCACGGUCGGACAUCGUGAGGUUAGUGCAAUGGUAUAAGCAAGCUUAACUGCGAGACAGACAAGUCGAGCAGGUGCGAAAGCAGGUCAUAGUGAUCCGGUGGUUCUGAAUGGAAGGGCCAUCGCUCAACGGAUAAAAGGUACUCCGGGGAUAACAGGCUGAUACCGCCCAAGAGUUCAUAUCGACGGCGGUGUUUGGCACCUCGAUGUCGGCUCAUCACAUCCUGGGGCUGAAGUAGGUCCCAAGGGUAUGGCUGUUCGCCAUUUAAAGUGGUACGCGAGCUGGGUUUAGAACGUCGUGAGACAGUUCGGUCCCUAUCUGCCGUGGGCGUUGGAGAAUUGAGAGGGGCUGCUCCUAGUACGAGAGGACCGGAGUGGACGCAUCACUGGUGUUCCAGUUGUCUCGCCAGAGGCAUUGCUGGGUAGCUACAUGCGGAAGAGAUAAGUGCUGAAAGCAUCUAAGCACGAAACUUGCCUCGAGAUGAGUUCUCCCACACUAUAAGUGUGUAAGGGUUGUUGGAGACUACGACGUAGAUAGGCUGGGUGUGUAAGUGUUGUGAGACAUUGAGCUAACCAGUACUAAUUGCCCGAGAGGCUUAACUAU